AUUGAACGCUGGCGGCAUGCUUUACACAUGCAAGUCGAACGGCAGCGCGGGCUUCGGCCUGGCGGCGAGUGGCGAACGGGUGAGUAAUGCAUCGGAACGUGCCCAGUAGUGGGGGAUAGCCCGGCGAAAGCCGGAUUAAUACCGCGUACGACCUGAGGGUGAAAGCGGGGGACCGAAAGGCCUCGCGCUAUUGGAGCGGCCGAUGUCGGAUUAGCUAGUUGGUGGGGUAAAGGCUUACCAAGGCGACGAUCCGUAGCUGGUGUGAGAAGACGACCAGCCACACUGGGACUGAGACACGGCCCAGACUCCUACGGGAGGCAGCAGUGGGGAAUUUUGGACAAUGGGGGCAACCCUGAUCCAGCCAUGCCGCGUGCGGGAAGAAGGCCUUCGGGUUGUAAACCGCUUUUGUUCGGGAAGAAAUCCUCUGGGCUAAUACCCCGGGGGGAUGACGGUACCGGAAGAAUAAGCACCGGCUAACUACGUG
This 484-nucleotide ribosomal RNA is filed under the name uncultured bacterium. RNAcentral's name for it is "partial 16S ribosomal RNA". It matches the Rfam family "Bacterial small subunit ribosomal RNA", at positions 28 to 507 of the family's 1533-position model. The record is from RNAcentral.